GCAACUUCUACUUCCUGUCUCUUGGAACAUUAGCUCCUGGAAUCCUGACAUCACUGAAGAAGUCCAGCUUCUUAAGUGCCAGAAAACCCACUGAAGAGGCCUGGAGAAUACAGAGAGGGGACGAGGCUCUGCUCCACACAGCCUUCUCACGGUCCCUGCCAAGGCACCCAACUUGUUGGCAAGCCUUUACGAAGUGGCAGCCCUGGGCACCCGAAACCCCUCAACCCAGAUCCUCUACACCCAAGAGAAGCACCGCCAGGCCCACCUAGUGAAGCACCUCUGCAGCUAAGAAAGCAGGACAGGCUCCAGCCCCGAGGAACAGCACCCAUGGGACGCUGUAAACAAGGAGCUUAGAGCCUGACUGGCCAAGACCCGAGGUAAGUGCUCUCACAAGGAAGAUGUGGUUAGGAGCGGGACUUGGGGCAUCUGGGCAUCCAGUUCCCAGUGCCAAGGAGGGAGGGUCUCCCCGCCACCCCUGCAACUCCCGGGCCCCACGUUACCUAACUG
This is a long non-coding RNA of Callithrix jacchus (white-tufted-ear marmoset), 507 nucleotides long. RefSeq lists it as uncharacterized. NCBI's taxonomy places the organism in Eukaryota, Metazoa, Chordata, Mammalia, Primates, Cebidae. The record is from RefSeq and is a predicted model, not a curated record.